This 442-nucleotide ribosomal RNA is filed under the name uncultured bacterium. RNAcentral's name for it is "partial 16S ribosomal RNA". It matches the Rfam family "Bacterial small subunit ribosomal RNA", at positions 338 to 795 of the family's 1533-position model. The record is from RNAcentral.
CCUACGGGAGGCUGCAGUGGGGGAUAUUGGACAAUGGGGGGAACCCUGAUCCAGCGACGCCGCGUGAGUGAAGAAGUAUCUCGGUAUGUAAAGCUCUAUCAGCAGGGAAGAAGAAAUGACGGUACCUGAGUAAGAAGCCCCGGCUAACUACGUGCCAGCAGCCGCGGUAAUACGUAGGGGGCAAGCGUUAUCCGGAAUUACUGGGUGUAAAGGGAGCGUAGACGGUGAUGUAAGUCUGGAGUGAAAGGCGGGGGCCCAACCCCCGGACUGCUCUGGAAACUAUGUGACUGGAGUGCAGGAGAGGUGAGCGGAAUUCCUAGUGUAGCGGUGAAAUGCGUAGAUAUUAGGAGGAACACCGGUGGCGAAGGCGGCCUGCUGGACUGUGACUGACGUUGAGGCCCGAAGGCGUGGGGAGCAAACAGGAUUAGAUACCCGUGUAGUC